GUGAAAAUACAAUGGGGGUGAAGAUGCCCUCUACCUGCAGCUAGACGAAAAGACCCCAGGAGCUUUACUGUAGCUUGAUAUUGCGUGUACGUGCUCAUUGCGUAGCAUAGAUGGGAGAGGUUGAGACAUAAAUUUCGGUUUGUGUGGACUCGUCAGUGAAAUACCAUUCUUUGUGUAUGUACAUGCUAACCUGACCGGCAAAAACGGGCGGAGACAGUAUCUGGCAGGCAGUUUAAGUGGGGCGCUUUCCUCCUAAAAAGUAACGGAGGAGUUUAUUAAGGUUGGCUAGGCGCGAAUGGACACCGUGCCGAUAGUGCAAUGGCAAAAGCCAGCUUAACUGCAAGACGUGAAUGUCACGCAGACGCGAAAGCGGAACAUAGUGAACCGACAGUUUGCAUUAGACGCAGCUGGAGAUUAUCUGAUAAAAGUUACCCUGGGGAUAACAGGCUAGUUCUGCCCAAGAGUUCAUAUCGACGGCAGAGUUCGGCACCUUAACAUAUCGGGGUGCCAUACAAGUAAUUGUAUUAGCGAUUGGUAUUAUUCGGGCGCAAAUGAAUCAUUGGCGCUCGGUGAAUAACAAUAAAAAAUUAGUGGCUUAUAACGGUGAACUCCUUAAUAAUGAACACAUUAAGGACAAUGCCGUGGGAAGUUUCUUCACAAGAACGUGAUCAUACAUUCUUUCGAGAAUGUAACGGCACCGACUAUUUAUUUAGUGGUGAUUGUGUUGAUAACCCUGUAGAGACUUGGAACGUGAAGUUCCGGAGUUGUGAUCAUGAGAAGAUCGCAGCUAAUACGCCAACGCCUUUCUUGAUCGAAAGGAUGAAGACAUAGUCCGAACCUUCUGGUAACAGAAGACAAAUACGACAUUGCGAUGUCGGCUCAUCUUAUCCUGGGGCUGGAGAAGGUCCCAAGGGUUUGGCUGUUCGCCAAUUAAAAAGAUACGUGAGCUGGGUUCAGACCGUCGUGAGACAGGUCGGUCUCCUAUCUGCUGCAGGCGCGGAUUCUUGAAGAGAUUUGCUUCUAGUACGAGAGGACCGAAGUGAACUGACCUCUGGUCUACCUGCUGUCACGCCAGUGGCACCCGCAGGGUAGCUAAGUCGGGAAGGGAUAAGCGCUGAAAGCAUCUAAGCGCGAAACCCACUCUAAGAUAAGGAAUCGUUGAGACUCGUGAGAGAUGAUCACGUGAUAGGCUUUAGGUGUACGCACAGCAAUGUGUUCAGCCAAGAAGUACUAAUUUGUCGAAUUUAUUGG
RNAcentral lists this ribosomal RNA (1251 nucleotides) under Candidatus Lloydbacteria bacterium RIFCSPHIGHO2_02_FULL_50_18. Its description in RNAcentral is "partial 23S ribosomal RNA". It matches the Rfam family "Bacterial large subunit ribosomal RNA", at positions 2036 to 2925 of the family's 2925-position model. Lineage: Bacteria; Candidatus Lloydiibacteriota. The record is from RNAcentral.